Molecule: non-coding RNA, 48 nt
Filed under: Trichobilharzia regenti
Lineage: Eukaryota; Metazoa; Platyhelminthes; Trematoda; Strigeidida; Schistosomatidae
Source: RNAcentral
AUUCAGAUGACGAGUCUCAAAUAGGACGAAAUGCACAUUAUCCUGGAU